RNAcentral lists this unclassified non-coding RNA (478 nucleotides) under Hevea brasiliensis (rubber tree). The record is from RNAcentral. Lineage: Eukaryota; Viridiplantae; Streptophyta; Magnoliopsida; Malpighiales; Euphorbiaceae.
UAUCUCUCUUUCUCUCUCUCUCUCUUAGCCGUUCUUUGUUAUUAACCUCUCCUCCGUUACCAUCUAUGCUUUGAUUUUGUUUUUAGGGGUUCUUCUCUUUCAGAUCCUGUAUGAUCGCCUUUUCUUUCUGAUUUUGUCUCUUCAAAAAAUUUCUGAUUUUUCAGGUAUUUUUAAAAUUUUUUUGAACUUUUAUUUCUGACAUCUUCGCAUUUAUUUUCCUCAAUUUUAUUUUUUAAGGUGGUGUUGGUUUUGUAGGAUCUGCAGGCACGUUUGUGUUCUUGAAGCGGUUUCUACCCGUUUUGCUUAUUGAGGUGAAAUAUCACUGUGUUGUACCAUCAUCGGGACACUACAUAUUUAAUGUUAAAUUAGAAAAUGUUGGAAGGAAACAACAGUAAUCCUCUACUUCCUGUUUUUGUGGAUGAUAGUCGUAUACCCUAUCAGAUCAAUCCUUCAAAUCAGCUGCAGUUAUUCAGUAAUU